ACAUAUCACUGGGUGAAGCCGGUGCAAGGUGAUUCUCAGAGAGUUUUCUGUGAAGUUUGCCAGAGUUCGUUUUCCGUUUCACACGGUGGGGAAUACGACGUGAAGCGACACUACAUGCAAGACCCCCCUCUCAGCUUUGUGGGUCUGAAGCAGCAGCAGCAGCAGCAGCAGCAGCAGUGACGUCAUCUCUUCCCAUAGAGGAGUGAGCAUUGCCUAGCUGGUGCUGGCUAACAAAUGAACGUACGGCACUGUAUCCAUGACCUUCAUGAAUCGCGGCGAGCCCUGCGGAUCUCGGCAUAGUUACUGAGGUUUACAGCCAAGGCCACUUUGCCUGGAGUCGAUUGCUGAUGGAGAACUCAUCCAUUGUAGGCAUUGAGAUAUUGGAUUUGGCUUUGAGGAAUGGUCGAGGAACAGGGAAUGGUAAUGAGUGAGAGGAAAGAUUCUGCACCAGAGACGUAAGAGAGGGAAUAAAACGGGAGGAAAGGGUGAGGCGAGUCAAAAACCGAGCUUGUAGCUUCAUGCAACCGAUAAUGAUUCGUCUCAAGUGACCGUGCUGCGAAACCAACAAAUUCUAUGAUCCAAUAAUCAUUAACUUAUUUGUGUAUCGACCAAAAACAGCUAGGACAUGUGUACACCGAACCUGGUGCAAUAAACAACCGACAAAGAAACCCGAAGCACUCCAAACCCUGGCUGUUCAAAUUAAAGUGCAAAUCAAUUUUAUAAUUACAAACAUUAGAGAAUUCAAAUGUCUGAAAGGCAUUCGUCCAGCAAAAAUCAGAAGCAAGCAAACCAAAAGUUGUGCCCAUCCCCCACGAAAGACAACGUAUUCUGAAUAAUGAUGAAUAACCAUCGACUGGUCUACACACUGUGGCACACGAGCCCUUCCUCUUCCUCUCCUGUCUUCAGUGCCGCUUGUCUCUCCAGGUCAAAGUUGAGUGGUUUGUCUCAGCAUUCUAUCCCCUCUCCAACCCCCUGUAGUUCCCACAAUGCAUCAGUGAGGAAACCACACAACCCCUUUUUGUUCUGCAGAAAUGCAGGAAAACACACACACACACACACAAAUCACCUCCAUAUAGGAAGUGGUAUUAUGCUCAUGUUCAUGUCUCAGAUGAGUUCUGAAGCAUGGGCUUGCAACAGCUCCACAACUAUGUAAUAUAAUUCAGCAUGUGGAUUUAUAUAUGUGUGCCUCUGAGGUGGUGUGUGCAUGUGAAAAAAAAACAAAACACAAAAUCAGAACCUGUAACCUGAGUCCCCUCCUCUCGAGUGACCUGGCGGGUGUCCUGACCCGUUUCAGUUUACGCUAAGAGGUCAAGAAAGGGCACGGUUGGGGAGAGGGAAAGAGAGAAUGCCAAGGAGAACGUGAGAGAGAGAGAGAGAGAGAGAG
Long non-coding RNA from Amphiprion ocellaris (clown anemonefish), 1384 nucleotides. RefSeq lists it as uncharacterized. The record is from RefSeq and is a predicted model, not a curated record. Lineage: Eukaryota; Metazoa; Chordata; Actinopteri; Pomacentridae. The transcript is spliced from 4 exons.